GGUUAGAUUUCACACCUGAUUUGAUUUUAUUUUGUUCAGAUUUGAUAUUUCAUCAUUGAGAUCUUGUGGUUUGAAUCCUUUUUUAGGGCAUUUGACUAGUGUUUUUAGUAAGUCGGGUAAUCUCCUCUAAAUCUAUAAGUUCUCGUUUCUUGCUUCAAUUUGAUCUCUCAUUAUAUUUGUACCUUUUCUAAUAAAAUCCUAAAGUAAUCUUGGAUCUUAGC
This 221-nucleotide long non-coding RNA is filed under the name Elaeis guineensis (African oil palm). RNAcentral describes it as "long non-coding RNA (EGUI_LNC031603)". The record is from RNAcentral. Lineage: Eukaryota; Viridiplantae; Streptophyta; Magnoliopsida; Arecales; Arecaceae.